Molecule: ribosomal RNA, 444 nt
Filed under: uncultured bacterium
Lineage: Bacteria
Description: bacterial SSU rRNA
Rfam family: Bacterial small subunit ribosomal RNA
Source: RNAcentral
GUAAAGGCCCACCAAAGCGACGAUCGGUAGCCGGGUUGAGAGACUGAACGGCCACAUUGGGACUGAGACACGGCCCAGACUCCUACGGGAGGCAGCAGUGGGGGAUAUUGCACAAUGGAGGAAACUCUGAUGCAGCAAUGCCGCGUGAGGGAAGACGGUCUUCGGAUUGUAAACCUCUGUCCUUGGUGAAGAUAAUGACGGUAGCCAAGGAGGAAGCUCCGGCUAACUACGUGCCAGCAGCCGCGGUAAUACGUAGGGAGCAAGCGUUGUCCGGAUUUACUGGGUGUAAAGGGUGCGUAGGCGGCUCUUUAAGUCGGGCGUGAAAGCUGUGGGCUUAACCCACAAAUUGCGUUCGAAACUGGAGGGCUUGAGUGAAGUAGAGGUAGGCGGAAUUCCCGGUGUAGCGGUGAAAUGCGUAGAGAUCGGGAGGAACACCAGUGGCGA